UACGUGGGACCCAAGCGUUAUCCGGAAUUACUGGGCGUAAAGAGUUGCGUAGGUGGCAGAGUAAGUUGGUAGUGAAAGCGUGUGGCUCAACCAUACAGACAUUACCAAAACUGCUCAGCUUGAGGACAAGAGAGGUCACUGGAAUUUCUAGUGUAGGAGUGAAAUCCGUAGAUAUUAGAAGGAACACCAAUGGCGUAGGCAGGUGACCGGCUUGUUCCUGACACUAAGGCACGAAAGCGUGGGGAGCGAACGGG
This 254-nucleotide ribosomal RNA is filed under the name uncultured bacterium. RNAcentral describes it as "partial 16S ribosomal RNA". It matches the Rfam family "Bacterial small subunit ribosomal RNA", at positions 524 to 776 of the family's 1533-position model. The record is from RNAcentral.